UAAGGAAUAUUGGUCAAUGGACGCAAGUCUGAAUCAGCCAUGCCGCGUGAAGGAUGAAGGUCCUCUGGAUUGUAAACUUCUUUUAUCUGGGACGAAAACGGGAUUUUUAUCUCAAUUGACGGUACCAGAGGAAUAAGCACCGGCUAACUCCGUGCCAGCAGCCGCGGUAAUACGGAGGGUGCGAGCGUUAUCCGGAUUUACUGGGUUUAAAGGGUGCGUAGGUGGGCUUAUAAGUCAGUGGUGAAAUCUCCGAGCUUAACUUGGAAACUGCCGUUGAUACUAUAGGUCUUGAAUUAUCUGGAGGUAAGCGGAAUAUGUCAUGUAGCGGUGAAAUGCUUAGAUAUGACAUAGAACACCAAUUGCGAAGGCAGCUUACUACAUAUAAAUUGACGCUGAGGCACGAAAGCGUGGGGAUCAAACA
RNAcentral lists this ribosomal RNA (421 nucleotides) under uncultured bacterium. Its description in RNAcentral is "bacterial SSU rRNA". It matches the Rfam family "Bacterial small subunit ribosomal RNA", at positions 355 to 774 of the family's 1533-position model. The record is from RNAcentral.